CUCAAUAAAUAUUAAAUCAGCGGCAAUUUCGGCCAGAGGGUUGUUCCCAAAUAACGGCGAAUAUUCCCGGCGGUCGGAUUUCCAGAUCGACGAGUCGUGCCUCUGCUUUUGUAUAAUGUAAUCUAGAAGUUUGACAGGGUCUAACGGUGGAUUGCCUUCAGCCAAGGCUAGCCGGGGCGAUGAAAAUGGGGGAUACCGGGAUACGAAGAAUGCUCGCGUGGUGUGAGUCGCCGCGAAAUGGGGGUCACAGCUACCGCAUCAAAGGAUUAUCUCUGGUAUAGAAAAUUAUGUUACAUUUGUGUUAAAUGGUCACUCAUGCAUCUGACCUUAUACCUGCUACAGUGUUCAAGUAUUCAAUAGUUGCUAU
Molecule: unclassified non-coding RNA, 367 nt
Filed under: Bombus terrestris (buff-tailed bumblebee)
Lineage: Eukaryota; Metazoa; Arthropoda; Insecta; Hymenoptera; Apidae
Description: misc RNA ENSBTSG00005030820.1
Source: RNAcentral